Long non-coding RNA from Homo sapiens (human), 624 nucleotides. RefSeq lists it as uncharacterized. The record is from RefSeq and is a predicted model, not a curated record. The transcript is spliced from 2 exons. NCBI's taxonomy places the organism in Eukaryota, Metazoa, Chordata, Mammalia, Primates, Hominidae.
GUGCCAAGAUGCCCUGGCACCGCAGCCCCUGCCUUACCACACCGCUCUUCGGAGGGAGGGGCAGGCAGGCAGUGCCACAGGAGCCGGGUCCCAAGAAUAACUCUGCAGAUCUUGGCUUCCCAGCCUCAGGAUUGUCCCCAGGGACCAGGACAAAGGGCUUGGUCCUAUUGGCUUGUCUCCAUGGCGCCUCCCUUCUUCUUCUUCCCAGGUGAAUGGAUCAGCUCAGUUAGACCCAAGAGAGCCUCAUGCUUGUCCUAGACCUCAUUUUCCCGACCCAGUGGCAUUCCAGCCACACCUGCUGAGGCCUUGGGUACCUGCGCAUCAGAGUAGCAGCUCCUCCAGCUGGCAGAGAAAGACUUGAUUUGCCACAGUUAGCGCGGCCCACUGUGGAAGCAAUCCAGGGUUCGCUCACCACCCAGCCAUGCCAGCUGAUGCUGUUUUGAUUCCCCUAACCAGGGGCAGUCACUUUUCUAGAACUUUCUGUGUCAUGAACCCUCAAGGGAGGCAGCUAAUGCAACCCUUUCCCAAAGGGCCCUCUCCUAAUACCUGCAAAUUAUAAGGACACUAUUUGACUUGAUAUUAUUUCUGGAGGAAAAUAAAAGUCAAUAAAGGCACAUAAACUGC